AAUGGGGACGAAGCUCCGUCUGUCUCUCAUAAGCUCCCGUCAUCGACUGAAACGCGGAGACUCCAUUGCUGCUAGAGCAAGGGGAGCUCUGAGCUCUCCCGGAGGAGGAAGAGGAGAAGAUGGUUUUCAAGAGCCUCACCUUCAACCCCAACGAUCCUGACCUUGUCAACGCUCGCCCUGGCUCCCCUUCUCCCUUCUUCUAUCUGAUGUCCCGAUCGGCCUCUUCUUCUUCUGAUGUCUGGUGCAACUGUUGGGCCCCCAGGGCUGCCUCGGCCCACCGCUCGACUCCCGUUUUCCAAACUCCGGCGCCUACCGGCAGGAGUCCAAUGGCUCAUGAUGUGCCUGGACAAUUUGAUGCAACUCGAAGCAAUGCAAAUGUAGCGCGUCAGAGUGAAGAAACCACCAAUCAAGUCAAAUUCCGAGAACCUAUGGACGAUGAUACUGAUGCGGAAGCAUUAUUGCAUAAUGAAGGAGAAUCUCCAGGUGCAGAUGAUGACCCGCUACCUGCAAUAGAUUGCCUUCAGAUUUCAGGUGAUGCAUUUCCUGGAAGGGAACUCCAGGCUUGUGGAUACUCCAUUAAUGGGGCGACGAGCUGCUUCUUUGAGGAUGGUGGUCUUGUAAAUGUAAUUUGAGGUGGAAAAACAAGGCCAGAUGAAGAGUCUGGUUCCAGGGAGAUUAUACACCGAGCUGUGAGUGAGCCAAGUGCUAAUAUAGGACUUAGUACAAGAACUCCUUGAACCAGUUUCUGUCAGUUUAAGCAAUUUAAACGAUGGACUUAUAAAAGGCCCUGCCUCUUUGCUGAAUGAGCUUCUGUUGCUGGUAAAAGUCUCUGAUAUCCACCAUAACAAAGUCAGACAUACUUAUCAACUACUUAAUAUUAAUGUCUUUUUUAUUUGGACCUUCUAAACCCUUACCCGAACAAACCAUAUGAGUACAUCUGACUCUUUCAGUAUCAUCCACAGUGGGUACGGCAUAUGGAAGACGGAUCAGUCAAUUAUAUUAGAGGUGCAAAAGACCGACCAAGAACUUCUUGUUUCCUUCCAUUGACUUCAUGAACCAUCCUUCGGAGGCAUAUAUUCCCCUUAUCUUUGGUUGGUGAAAUAUGGGUGUUUCUCCUUCUCUGUAGACAUAGAUUUCAAGGAUUCGCUCCAUUAACUCGUAGCUCCUGCAGAUACAAUACAAGAUGAUGAAUGCCCAGCCAAUACAAUGGCUUUUCCCCCAAGUAUCAACAUAAGAAUUUGCAAGCAUUAGAGAAUGAUGAGACCCUCCAAUUUGUAGGUUGCGUUUGGUUUCAUAGUAGAAUUUUAAAAUUAGAUUUUGAUUUUGAUUUUGAGUGGUAUAAAUGGGGCCCACCCUUUGACUUUGUAUG
Molecule: non-coding RNA, 1369 nt
Organism: Punica granatum (pomegranate)
Lineage: Eukaryota; Viridiplantae; Streptophyta; Magnoliopsida; Myrtales; Lythraceae
Source: RefSeq, a predicted model, not a curated record